RNAcentral lists this ribosomal RNA (255 nucleotides) under uncultured bacterium. RNAcentral's name for it is "partial 16S ribosomal RNA". It matches the Rfam family "Bacterial small subunit ribosomal RNA", at positions 173 to 428 of the family's 1533-position model. The record is from RNAcentral.
AUAAUGCUGCAGUAACACAUGUUACAGCAGCCAAAGAUUUAUCGGCUGGGGAUGGGCCUGCGUCUGAUUAACUGGUUGGUGAGGUAACGGCUCACCAAGGUAACGAUCAGUAGCCGACCUGAGAGGGUGAUCGGCCACAUUGAAACUGAGACACGGUCCAAACUUCUACGGAAGGCAGCAGUAAGGAAUCUUGCACAAUGGGGGAAACCCUGAUGCAGCAACGCCGCGUGAACGAUGAAGGCGUUAGGGUUGUAA